UUCAAUAAAUUAGCGUCCGUUAGGCAGACGCUAAUUUAUUGACCCUACCAAAAUCAAUCGACCAAACCGUCCAAUUAUUGUCCAUAACGCCAUAUGGUCCUCUCUCACUCAAUUCUCUCUCACUCAAUUCUCUCUCACCUCAAUUCUUUCCUCUGUCUAACUCUUCAUCUCCCUCAAACUAUUCAUUUUCCUCAGAAAAAUUGUGGUUUUCGUUAUUUCACUCGUUUAGAUCUGGUAUUUUUGUUCAGUUAGUUGUGGUAGGGUUUUGUUCAGUUGGUUGCAUCAUCGCCGCUUCUGUCUCUGAGCUUCAUCGUCGUCUUCAAGCAUCACCGCCGCUUCUUUAUCAGGAUUCCUGAUCCCGAAGGGACUGUGAGUUAUCACCCGAGGAACCAAUACUUCUAUAAAAGGCAUUUUAGAUAUACAAUGUGAAAAUCAUAAUUUGGAAAGGAUGAGACAACUUGACAAAGUGGGGGAGUAUUAGUUGCUGCUGAAGUCACUUGGUCUGUACAAUUGUUGUGAUUGGUACAGCUUGCAAAAGAGUUAAAAAAUCUCGACGAAACACCUCCAGAAGGAAUCAAAGUGGGCGUUAAUGAUGAUGAUUUCACAACCAUAUUUGCUGAUAUAGAUGGCCCAGGUUUGUUUGAGUUUGAUAGGAUGACUUUGGAAAGGUUGAAGAUUGAAGAUUUGUAUAUUGAAGAAGAAAUGAUUUCUUUCUAAUGUAUUACAUAGAUUUUUUGUUAUUAUUUAUUUAAGUAAGGAUGUAAAUUAUUCACAAAUUUUGAUUUAUCAUUUCUAUUUAUAUUGUAAUUACUUUUAUUACAUAUAAUAAUAAUUAUAAUUUUUCCUUCUA
Beta vulgaris subsp. vulgaris (sugar beet) is the source of this 850-nucleotide long non-coding RNA. RefSeq lists it as uncharacterized. NCBI's taxonomy places the organism in Eukaryota, Viridiplantae, Streptophyta, Magnoliopsida, Caryophyllales, Amaranthaceae. The record is from RefSeq and is a predicted model, not a curated record. The transcript is spliced from 4 exons.